CUGGCAACACGACUGAGGCUGAGCCCGCGUCCUCAAUCACAACUCGCUCAAGGGACGAGGCCAUGUAACCUUCUCUGAUGGGAAGAGC
Sinocyclocheilus grahami is the source of this 88-nucleotide long non-coding RNA. RefSeq lists it as uncharacterized. The record is from RefSeq and is a predicted model, not a curated record. The transcript has 3 exons. NCBI's taxonomy places the organism in Eukaryota, Metazoa, Chordata, Actinopteri, Cypriniformes, Cyprinidae.